UGAGCAAAGUGUGUCAAAAGCUUAGAUAGACCACAAGCCAGACCUCUUGCCCCAGUUAGCCAAGUUGUGAAUGCAAAGAAAAAGUUCUUGAAGGAAGUAAACAGUGCUACUCCAGUGAGCCCAUCAUGAAUUAGAAGUGAAACA
Sapajus apella (tufted capuchin) is the source of this 144-nucleotide long non-coding RNA. RefSeq lists it as uncharacterized. NCBI's taxonomy places the organism in Eukaryota, Metazoa, Chordata, Mammalia, Primates, Cebidae. The record is from RefSeq and is a predicted model, not a curated record. The transcript is spliced from 3 exons.